UUCUUGAAAGUAAGAAUUGGAGGAACUCAAGUCAUCUGUUCCAACUUACAUUUGAUUUGGUUUCCUCCAAUAUCUUAUCUUCAGAUG
RNAcentral lists this microRNA precursor (87 nucleotides) under Ricinus communis (castor bean). RNAcentral describes it as "MIR2275 microRNA precursor family". It matches the Rfam family "MIR2275 microRNA precursor family". Lineage: Eukaryota; Viridiplantae; Streptophyta; Magnoliopsida; Malpighiales; Euphorbiaceae. The record is from Rfam by way of RNAcentral.